UCCAGACUCCUACGGGAGGCAGCAGUGGGGAAUAUUGGGCAAUGGGCGCAAGCCUGGCCCAGCAACGCCGCGUGAAGGAAGAAGGCUUUCGGGUUGUAAACUUCUUUUGACAGGGAAGAGCAGAAGACGGUACCUGUCGAAUAAGCCACGGCUAACUACGUGCCAGCAGCCGCGGUAAUACGUAGGUGGCAAGCGUUAUCCGGAUUUACUGGGUGUAAAGGGCGUGUAGGCGGGACUGCAAGUCAGAUGUGAAAACCAUGGGCUCAACCCAUGGCCUGCAUUUGAAACUGUAGUUCUUGAGUGUUGGAGAGGCAGGCGGAAUUCCGUGUGUAGCGGUGAAAUGCGUAGAUAUACGGAGGAACACCAGUGGCGAAGGCGGCCUGCUGGACAAUAACUGACGCUGAGGCGCGAAAGCGUGGGGAGCAAACAGGAUUAGAUACCCUAGUAC
This 448-nucleotide ribosomal RNA is filed under the name uncultured bacterium. RNAcentral's name for it is "bacterial SSU rRNA". It matches the Rfam family "Bacterial small subunit ribosomal RNA", at positions 330 to 793 of the family's 1533-position model. The record is from RNAcentral.